GGAAAAGUGGACAGAUAAACCCAUAUCAUGGAUAGGCUGGAUCCACAUGGUAAACAUGAAUAUUCUGCCACGAAUUCUCUUCCUGUCCCAAGCAUUACCCUUACACAUCUCUAAAUCAUGCCUAGCUCCCCUGCAACGAGUGAUAGGUACUUUUUAUAUGGCAAAAUAAACAACACAUAUUGUACCAACCGAAAAUGCACAGAGGAUUAGGUUUACCUCACCUACACUUAUACCAUUUGGCGGCACAGUUGACACAAAUUGCUAUGUGGCAUUCCCCCCUGGAAGAGAGGAAGUGGGUAGAAAUCGAAUCACUGAUGCUGACAGUGGACCUCCCUCAAUUUAUAAUGUGGGUGCCUAAGGCAGACAGACCAAUGCUGAGAAGCACAUGCAGU
Pelobates cultripes (western spadefoot toad) is the source of this 392-nucleotide non-coding RNA. NCBI's taxonomy places the organism in Eukaryota, Metazoa, Chordata, Amphibia, Anura, Pelobatidae. The record is from the annotation of a GenBank genome assembly.